UGUGAAAUUGAAAAGGUUUCGAGGUUGU
This 28-nucleotide small RNA is filed under the name Bombyx mori (domestic silkworm). RNAcentral's name for it is "ovarian small RNA-35873". The record is from RNAcentral. Lineage: Eukaryota; Metazoa; Arthropoda; Insecta; Lepidoptera; Bombycidae.